RNAcentral lists this ribosomal RNA (561 nucleotides) under Humicola fuscoatra. Its description in RNAcentral is "eukaryotic LSU rRNA". It matches the Rfam family "Eukaryotic large subunit ribosomal RNA", at positions 38 to 625 of the family's 3401-position model. The record is from RNAcentral. Lineage: Eukaryota; Fungi; Ascomycota; Sordariomycetes; Sordariales; Chaetomiaceae.
GCAUAUCAAUAAGCGGAGGAAAAGAAACCAACAGGGAUUGCCCCAGUAACGGCGAGUGAAGCGGCAACAGCUCAAAUUUGAAAUCUGGCUUCGGCCCGAGUUGUAAUUUGCAGAGGAAGCUUUAGGCGCGGCACCAACUGAGUCCCCUGGAACGGGGCGCCACAGAGGGUGAGAGCCCCGUAUAGUUGGACGCCUAGCCUGUGUAAAGCUCCUUCGACGAGUCGAGUAGUUUGGGAAUGCUGCUCAAAAUGGGAGGUAAAUUUCUUCUAAAGCUAAAUACCGGCCAGAGACCGAUAGCGCACAAGUAGAGUGAUCGAAAGAUGAAAAGCACUUUGAAAAGAGGGUUAAAUAGCACGUGAAAUUGUUGAAAGGGAAGCGCUUGUGACCAGACUUGCGCCCGGCUGAUCAUCCCGUGUUCUCACCGGUGCACUCUGCCGGGCUCAGGCCAGCAUCGGUUCUCGCGGGGGGAUAAAGGUCCUGGGAACGUAGCUCCUCCGGGAGUGUUAUAGCCCAGGGCGUCAUGCCCUCGCGGGGACCGAGGUUCGCGCAUCUGCAAGGAUG